AACGAACGCUGGCGGCAUGCCUAACACAUGCAAGUCGAACGAGACCUUCGGGUCUAGUGGCGCACGGGUGCGUAACGCGUGGGAAUCUGCCCUUGGGUUCGGAAUAACAGUGAGAAAUUACUGCUAAUACCAGAUGAUGUCUUCGGACCAAAGAUUUAUCGCCCAGGGAUGAGCCCGCGUAGGAUUAGCUAGUUGGUGGGGUAAUGGCCUACCAAGGCGACGAUCCUUAGCUGGUCUGAGAGGAUGAUCAGCCACACUGGGACUGAGACACGGCCCAGACUCCUACGGGAGGCAGCAGUGGGGAAUAUUGGACAAUGGGCGCAAGCCUGAUCCAGCAAUGCCGCGUGAGUGAUGAAGGCCUUAGGGUUGUAAAGCUCUUUUACCCGGGAUGAUAAUGACAGUACCGGGAGAAUAAGCUCCGGCUAACUCCGUG
Molecule: ribosomal RNA, 433 nt
Filed under: uncultured bacterium
Lineage: Bacteria
Description: partial 16S ribosomal RNA
Rfam family: Bacterial small subunit ribosomal RNA
Source: RNAcentral